AUCCAUAUCAUCUUGCACAGCCCAUGUUAAGGAAACUUUCAUAUUGGCAAGUCAUAGCUUACACGGAACAAUCUUAAAUAUUCACAGCAGAUUUGUGCCUCCUGUUUUGUUCGGCAAAUGGAUUAUAUUAUUUGGUGAUUUAGGAAAAUUGAGAGGAGAAUUUUAUACAUAUACCAUAUAUAUUAUUUUGCAAAAAGUUAUAAUUCAAAUUGCUGGCAUCCUUUGUAACAAAUAGAAUUCUCUUUUUGGUGAAUCAAAUAUGGCAACAGACUCAUGGAAGAAACAUUCUAUGUGAACAAAUAGGUCUCAGGACUAUGGUAUCAGUGACCAUUACCUUUCAAAUGGUGUUCAUGUAAGACACAGGGAAACAGGUGUCAUUGAAAAACUUUGUCAAAGUUAUGGCUUUAUUGAGUGUGCUGAACAGGAUCUU
This is a long non-coding RNA of Xenia sp. Carnegie-2017, 430 nucleotides long. RefSeq lists it as uncharacterized. The transcript has 3 exons. The record is from RefSeq and is a predicted model, not a curated record. NCBI's taxonomy places the organism in Eukaryota, Metazoa, Cnidaria, Anthozoa, Malacalcyonacea, Xeniidae.